This 30-nucleotide non-coding RNA is filed under the name Mus musculus (house mouse). Lineage: Eukaryota; Metazoa; Chordata; Mammalia; Rodentia; Muridae. The record is from RNAcentral.
UGGUAGCCUUGCGAGAUGGCGCUUAAGGAA